Molecule: small nuclear RNA, 21 nt
Filed under: Arabidopsis thaliana (thale cress)
Lineage: Eukaryota; Viridiplantae; Streptophyta; Magnoliopsida; Brassicales; Brassicaceae
Description: snRNA_09821
Source: RNAcentral
ACCCACCAAUAGGGAACGUGA